This 253-nucleotide ribosomal RNA is filed under the name uncultured bacterium. RNAcentral describes it as "partial 16S ribosomal RNA". It matches the Rfam family "Bacterial small subunit ribosomal RNA", at positions 524 to 776 of the family's 1533-position model. The record is from RNAcentral.
UACAGAGGGUGCAAGCGUUGUCCGGAAUCACUGGGCGUAAAGCGUUUGUAGGCGGCUCUGUAAGUCGGGUGUGAAAUCCCACGGCUCAACCGUGGAAGUGCAUUCGAAACUGCAGGGCUUGAAUAUGGAAGAGGAGAGUAGAAUUCCAGGUGUAGUGGUGAAAUACGUAGAUAUCUGGAGGAAUACCGGUGGCGAAGGCGGCUCUCUGGUCCAAUAUUGACGCUGAGAAACGAGAGUGCGGGGAUCAAACAGG